This 1571-nucleotide long non-coding RNA is filed under the name Ictidomys tridecemlineatus (thirteen-lined ground squirrel). RNAcentral's name for it is "lncRNA (ENSSTOG00000031217.1)". Lineage: Eukaryota; Metazoa; Chordata; Mammalia; Rodentia; Sciuridae. The record is from RNAcentral.
AGGCAAUGUACCCAGCACUGCUCCAGCCUCAAAAUUCCAGUGAAUUUUAACAGAUGACAUGGCUUCUUUUACUUUCCUUCUUUCUAGCUCCUUCCCCACCAACAGCCAGAGGUGGCAGGAAUCUGGAGACUCAUCCCUGGGUGCCUCCUGCGCAAGUGCAGAUGCCCCAGUGGAAGAAGUCCUCCUCCCUCCUCCUCCACACCACGCCCACCCAGGGCGGUGCCACAGCCAAUGCAGCUGAGCUCAGAGCCUCACUGUGGGGUCUGCAGGGGCAAGGACAGCUGCUCCCUGCCCUCCCUUAGUGGUUGGUUGCGGAAUGCAGUUCUUUUGUAUGAGAACGCAUUUUCUCCAGUCAUUCUGCUUGCUGACCAACAACUUGUUACCGCUGCUGGCAGGCCUGUCCUAUCACAUGAACUUCCACCAUUGUGAUGUCACCACCCUGAAAUCCUCACCAGAGGAAGAACAGAUGGGGCUACCUGAUCUUGAGUUUUCAGCCACCGAUAUUCAUCAAGACUACAGAAAGAAGAGAAGCACUACCCAAGAAGUAAUGAUGUCUAAAGCGCAACCUGUUUUGAAAACCGCUACUACUGAGGCUUCAUUGCAAGUUCCGCAUCCACCAAGCCUCUAAGGCGCUGGCUCAGCGCAGAGUUAUUAAAGCUCUCGCCGCGAGAGCCGCCAACAGGAAAUACGCCAUCAUCAGGCGCAACCGUCUUAGCCUCGGCGCAUGGGAAGGUGACGUACAGGUUGGAGAUAAUGGUGGCCCGCCGAGACCGAAUUUUCUUGGGUAUUCACAGCCGGGCGGGGCGUGGGUUGGCGUCACUCUCAAUUUCUGUGUUUUCGUGGUUAUUGGAGACGGACGUUUUAUUUAUAUUUUCCUCUUGUUCAUUCGUUUUCAUGUUUAGGGUGUCGCAUUUUAAAACAUGAAUUUGCAUUUGUUCUUGCUAAUAUACAUUAUUAAUACAAGUUUUAAAGAUUCAAAUAUUUGCUUGUGAUCCCACCAAUCUAUCACUUUUCUACAGAUUAUUUUUAAUGACAGAGACCAGAAACAAGGGAUUUUUAGAGCCUAACUGCCAAAGUGCAACAUGUUUCAUCUGAUUAUAUGGGCUUUGCUUAACCUAUCGUUUUAUAGCUGUUUGGAUUCUGGUGUGUGUGUGUGUGUGUGUGACUCAGAAUACAGAACAGGCAAGGAGGAAUUUAUAGCUGAGGAGCAGGUGGAAGUCAGUGGCUGGAAAAUUACUAAGUGGUAAUGGGUAUCAGAUAUCACUUCCUGGGGGUGGAGGAUGAGAAACCUAAUCAGAUAUCUAGGUGGGGGUGUCUUGCUAAACUGAGUUAGCAAGGCUGUUUUCUAAAACUGGAUUUUAUAAGGCAGUCUGCAGAUGGUCCUUGGGAAAGGUUCCAGAUCCUGAUUAAAAUUUGAUUAAGCCUAGAAUCUUUGUCAGUGUGAGGAUUAUUAUUAUUAUUUUAUGUAGUACUGGAGACCAAACAGCCAUGUUAGGCAAACACUCUAACACCAGCCCAGGAAUUCAAGUUUUUAUACAAUGUUCCAUGCCCCCAUCCCCUUUCCAAGGAAC